CAGCCCAGCCCCACAGGAACAGGAGAGAGCAGGACCUCUGCUCUCUGCACUGCUGCGUCCCCAACUAGAACAGUGUCUUAAUCAUAGCAGACGUUCACGAUUUAUUUGAAAACAAUGUGGUGGUAACCAUGAAAACCAACAUCCACAACCAUGCCGAAAACCAGCAAACUGGCAGCCACUGGAAGGAGACAGAGCAGGCAGGGCUGGAGCUCCUUCAAAGCCCCAUUCCCAGAGAACUGUCAUUAUCUGACCUGCCUGGUGGUUUCCUAGAAGACCCUACUUGUAAGGCUGUCUUUAUUUGACCUGACUCAGAGCCCUCCUAUUGCAAAAAGUCUCUUGGUGGGGAGGGGAGGAAGUAUUUGUUAAAAAUAAUCACAGGUAAUUGUUGAAUAUCAUGCUGCCUGAGGAUGUGGCUAACAGUAUGGGCAAAACACAGGCUAACCAAACAGCUUAAAAAGAAAAGUAGGGGUAUGACAUGUCCAUACAGCACUUUGAAAAGCUUUUAUAUAUAUCUGGGAACCUAGAAGGCCAUGAACAUGCAUCGGGCUGUGCACAUGCCCAGGGAAGACCUGAGAAGGCCCUAAGCUCUCAUCUCUGGUUGACUGUAAGGCUGUGUACAGGCAGGAGGUGAGGCUAAGGAAGAGCUGAAAACUGCAUGGUGAGUAUUAAAGGCAAGCACCAAUGAGUACACAGAGCCCCUAAGCAAAGACUGGGAGACUUAGUUCCAGGCAUCUAAGGAAAUCUUCAUCCAUUCAUUAGCUAACCGCUAAGCAAAUCAAGCAGAGAUUUAAGUGGCUACACACACACACACACACACACACACACACACACACACACUACAGACUUUACAAAAUUUUCCAAAAAGUCACUAAAACAAUAGUAACAUCAUCAACCCCUGGGGAAGGUGCAGAAUCUGAUUUCCAGGGUUGCUGUAUUAUUUUAAAUGUUCUGUUGUCUACAAGAAAUUAUGAGACAUUCAAAGAAACAAGAAGGUACGGCCCAUUAAUGUGGGGAGGGGGGUAGGUAGGGCAGGAAGGAAGCAGCCAAUAAAGAGGUGGAAAUUAUAAAGAAAAGAGGCAAACAGAAAUUCUGGAAUUGAAAGUCAUAAUAACCAAAACAAAAAAUCCACAACCAAUCUGAACAGACAAAAGAAAGGAUCAGUAAACUUGAAGAUAGGCCAAUUGAGAUUAUCCAGUCUGAGGAACUGAAAGAAAAAAGGAAAAGAAAGAGCCCAAGCAUAUGCAUAGGGCAGUGGCAGAAGGAGAGGAGCGAGAAAGAGAGAAGGGCAAAAAUGUUUGAAGAAAUAAUGGCUGAAAACUUACCAAAUGUGAUGAAAAACAAUCUACAUGCCCAAGAAGCUCAAGGAACUCCAAGUAUAAUAAAGUCAGAGAGCCACACCUAGACUCGUCAUAAUCAAACUACUGAAAGCCAGAGCCUCAAAAGCAGCAAGAGAAGAAAGAGACUCAUCGCAUUGGAGGGAUCCUCGGUAAGAUUAACAACUGGUUUCUCAUCCAAAGAAACCACGGAUACCAGAAAGCCUCCAUUCAAACUGCUGAAAGAAAAAGACUGUCAACCAAGAAUUCUUUACCAACAAAACUGUCCUUCAAAAGUGAGGAAGAAAUUAGGGCGUUCCCAGAUAAACAAAAACUGGAAGAAUCUGUCACUAACAAACCUACCCUAUGAGAAAUAUUAAAGGAGGCCUUUCAGACUGAAAUGAAAGCACACUAAACAUUAACUCAAAUACACGUGAAUAAAGAGCCCAAAAAAGGUAACUACAUAGGUAAAUAUAAAAGACGGUAUAAAUAGGUUGUAACAUUUUUUUCUCUAAUCUGAUUUAAAAAACAACUGCAUUAAGCAGUAAUUAUAAAUCUGUGUUGAUAGGCAUAUCAUGUAUAAAGAUGUUAAUUUGUGUGACAAUAAUAGCAGGAGGGAACAGGGAGAAAUAAAGCUUUAUAUCAAAGCAAAGAUUGUGUAUACUAGUUGCAAAGUUGGUGUUAACCCAAACUAUGUUAUUACCAGUUAAGAUGUUAACUGUUAACACUUAGGGUAGCUUCUAAAAAAAUAACUCAGAAAAAAUAAAGUAAAAGAAAUGACAAGAGAGUGAAAAUGUAUAAAAACUAUCUAACACAAAAUAAGGCAGCACUGUAGGAACAAAGAAACAAAACAGACAUGACCUAGGAAACCAAGAGCAAAAUGACAGACAUAAAUCCUACCCUAUCAGUAAUGACAUUAAAUGUAAAUGGAUUAAACACUUCAAUUAAAAACUGGUCCAAUUACAUGCUCUCUACAAGAGAAACAUUUUAGAUUCAAAGACAAACAGACCAGGGGUGCCUGGGUGGCUUAGUCAGUUGAGUGUCUUACUUCCACUCAGGUCAUGAUCUCACGGUUGGGAGUUUGAGCCCUGCAUCAGGCCCGCUGCUGUUAGCCCAGAGCCCACUUCUGAUCUGUGUCUCCCUCUUUCUGCCCCUCCCCCACUCGUGCGCGUACACGUGUCCUCUUUCUCUCUCUCUCUCUCUCUCUCAAAAAUAAAUAAACAUUGAAAAAAAAAAGGCUAAAAGUGAAAGGCUGGAAAAAGAUAUAGCAUGCACUGGUAACCAAAAGAGUGCUGGAAUGAUUAUACUAUCAGACAAAACAGACUUUAAGACAAAAUUUGUCACUAAAGACAAAGAAUGAAUUUUAUAAUGAUAAAAGGGCUCGUCCACCCAUAAUUGCAUAUAUGCACUUAACAACAGAGCCCCAAAAUACAUGAAGCAAAAACCGACACAACAGAAGAGAGAAAUACACAAUUCAACAAUAUUAGAGACUUCAAUAUCCCACUUUCAAUAAUGCAUAGAAUAACUAAACACACAAGGAAAAAGACUUAAUCAACAUACAAAUCAACUAGACCUAAGAGAUACCCACAGAACUCAAGAGCAGAAUAUACAUUUUUUUUUUUUUUAAUAUUUAUUUAUUUUUGACAGAGAGACAGAGCAUGAGCAAGGGAAGGGCAGAGAGAGAGGGAGACAGAGAAUCCAAAGCAGGCUCCAGGCUCUGAGCUGCCAGCACAGAGCCUGACGUGGGGCUUGAACUCAGACCAUGAAAUCAUGACCUGAGCCGAAGUUGGACGCUCAACCCACUGAGCCACCCAGGUACCCCCAGAAUACACAUUCUUCUCCAGCACAUACAAAACAUUCUCCAGGGUAAACCAUAUGUUAGGCCGUUAAAAAGUCUCAAUAAAUUUAAAAGAACUGAAAUAAUACAAAGUAUGUUCUCCAACCAUACGGAAUGAAAUUAAAAAUCAAUAACACAAUGGUGGGUCUUAGACUGCUGUGCUGUUCAGUCUCAUUUCCUCUUGUGUUUCACUUCUUCAUAUCCUUCCCACUCACUGCUGAUAGUAUCUUUGUAUAGUAACCCCCCCCACCGCCGUUGUAGAUGCUAAUUUGCCCUUAUAAUCUAUUAGAAGUUUGGAGAUGGAACCAUCGAACUUGCAGAACAAAAGAAUAAGGCUCAGUAUAAAACCUCAAGGAGCUCUGCCUUGAAGAAUCAGGAAGCAUUAGGGAUCAGUAUUUGGAGCAUCUUAUUCUAGCCACCUAGGAGCCAGCCUAGUUCUUAGGCAGGCAAGGUUAAUGGGCAGCCUAAAGGCCCAGGAAGGCACCAGUAUAAUGCAAAUCAGUUCCAUGACAACCAGCGGUUAAGAAACAUUACUUCUUCCAUUAUUAAGGAAAAAAAAUUCCCAGCCUUCUGAUAUAAAGAUGUUCAACAUUCCUUUAUAAGCCAGUCAGACUAACAAAAGAAAGACCUUCUCUUUUUACAUAUUUUGCUCUAAAUUCCAAUUUCCUUUGAGGACAUGCCUUCCCAUAAAAAGAACAUCAUCAAUCUUACCCUUCCCUGUACUGUUUUAUACUUAAAAUCACUAUCACAGGGUUUUACGCUCACAUUUUUCUAAACUGCUUCAUGAACAUGUUUUUGUCUCCUUAACCAGACUUAAAGCCCUUGAGGGGAAAAAAAGGCCAUUCAUGUUUCAUUCUCCUUUUUGUAGUUCCCUACCCGCUCAGAGAGCUGUGCUGGGCUCAUUAAUGCUCCCUUAACAAAUACUGGUUAACUCAGAGGGUCAUUUGGGUGUGUCCUAAUAUACUGGUGUGUCCCAAACAACUUCUAGGUGUGCCAAGAUAACAACCCCUUUGGGUCUGGGGCAGGGGGUGCAGUGGUUAGAGGUUGGGGUAGCAGGAGCACCUCAAUGUGUGCAUCACCAUGUGAAAAAGGCUGGGAAACACUGAGUUAAGGGACUAAUUAGAAACACUGCUGAGGGGCACCCGAGUGGCAGUCAGUUGAGCAUCCAACUCUUGACUUCGGCUCAGGUCUUGAUCCCAGGGUUGUGGGAUCAUGGGAUUGAGCCCCGCAUCGAUGCUUAAGACUCUCUGUCUCUCUCUCUCUCUCUCUCUCUGCCCCUCUCCCCCCACUUGCACACGUGUGCUCUCUCUCUCUCUCUCUCAGAAACAAACACACAACAACAAAAAAACCCUGGGUUAAAGGACUAAUCAGAAACACUGCUGAAAAGAACUAGAAAGAGACUGAAUGUCCAUAAAAAAGAUGAAGCUCCUCAUGUACCAACUAGAAAAUCUUCCAAGACACGUAAGUGAAAGCCAGCAAGAUCCAGGCAGUAUGUAAAACAUGCUACCAUCCACGUAAUAAGGAGGAUACACACACUUCAUGGAUUACCUAUGCAUACGGUACGCCUUUACGGGUACACCACAGUGGCUGGCCCUGAAGGGAACCCAGGAGGUAGAGAUAGAGAUGGGAAAAUUUAUCCCAAUGAACCCACUGAACUUCUGAAUUUUAAAGCAUGUGACGGCAUUAAAUUUUUUUGAAUUCUAUUUUAGAGGGGGAGAGAAAGUGGGUAAGGGAGGCAGGGAGGGGAAGGGGAAAGGGAAGGGAGAGAGGGAGAGAAAGAGAGAGAGACAGUCUCAAGCAGGUUCCACACUCAGUGCAGGGCCUGACGUGGGGCUCGAUCCUACAACCCUGGGAUCAUGACAUGAGCCGAAAUCAAGAGUUGACACUCAACCCGACUAAGCCACCCAGGCCCCCCCAAUAAUUUUUUUUAAUGUUUAUUUAUUUUUGAGAGAAAGACAGAGUGUGAGCAGGGAAGGGGCAGACAGAGAGGGAGACACAGAAUUCAAAGCAGGCUCCAGGCUCUGAGCUGUCAGCAGCCCCGAUGCAAGGCUCGAACUCAUGAACUGUGUGAUCAUGACCUGAGCCAAAGUCAGACGUUUAACCAACUGAGCCACCCAGGCACCCCAAUAAACUUUUUAAAGUUGCCAAAUCCACCUAUGCCUGGUAAUGACUAUUUUCUAUGCAAAACACCUUUAUGACUAAGUCAAAUGUUGAGUUAAAAUAAGAAAAGCAAGAUCUGGUUGCUGGUUACCCAGCUAUGUUCUCUUUGUGAAAAUCCACUGAGCUCUACACUUAAUUAUGAUCUGUGUACUUUUCCACAGGUAGAAUAUACCUCAAUAAAAAGUCAAACAUAAAAUGAAAAGGUUACUUAGGUCAACUGUCUUUUUGUUCCCUUAUUAAAAGGCCAGUAUAUGUCAUUUAUUUGCCUAAAAAAUUGUUUCAAAUUGUUCAGCAAUGUUUCUCAAAAGCAACCUCCUAUGACUUAGAUGUCAUGCCGAGCCCGUGUGACAAGGGGGCUCAGGUCUGCCUGCUCUGCUUCUCCAUCAGUAGUAACGGCCUCCAGUCCCACAUUCUCACUCUGGGCUGGGAGGGUUCAGUAAGCACUGAGGAGCAUUACUAAAAACCACCUUAUGGUUUACUGCAUUGCAAUUACAUUUUUAAAUUAUGAAAAUGAAAGUAUUUAAAGCCACUUAUCAAAAAUGCCAAAGUCACAAAGGAUGCAGACGGAGGCUGUGCAAACAGUCCAGACAGAAGGAGGCUACCUCUAGAGGCCUGACCGUCAAAUCCAACACCUGACCUGAGGCUGCUCCUGUGAUGGAGAAGGGAGAACUGUUACCCAGGACUUUGCUGCAUCAACAGGUAAAAUCGGAAUAUAAAUGGCAGGUUGAAGUCUCCGUGUUGAACUGAGCUUAGGCUGUACUAUGGUCAUAUGAGAGCAUUUCCCCACUCUUAGUCAAAAUACAAUUGAUGUUAGUUAAAGUAAAGGGCCACAAUGUUAAGUUACUCUUAAAUGAGGGACAGGCCUAUGUCCCUGUAUGCGGGAACAGGGGGAGACUCAGCAGCAGUGGCAAAUGAUCAUGUGAAUAGGGUAAAAUGUUAACAGCUUAAUUUGAGUCCAGGGUAUGUGGAUGUGCUUUGUGUUGGUUUUUUUUCUGUGAAAUUAAAAUUACUUCCAAAUAAAGUCUUUUAAAACCAUGUAUUAAUAAAUUACUACCAAUAAGAAUCAAAACAAGCUUAGAAAUGAAUCUGGAUUUUGAUUAUGACAGUUGCCUCUCAUGACGCAUUUUAAUGCCAAGGCACUAUUUCAAUUUGCAAAAAAAAAAAAAAAAAGUAAAAAUUACACCUUCUGGCUAGAUUUAUAAGAGCUAAAUAAGUACCUUCCAAGACCUAAAGCUUAACAUAAUUGUCUUUAACAUAAGACUCCACCUCAGUAAUUUCUCAUAAUGUGAACCUUAAUGGAGAAACUAGAUUUACAGGAAGUUUAAUAAAAGUUCUCAUCCACAUGAGGGAUUAAUCUUGCUUGAGUGGCAAACACAAUGAUAAAUCCUAGCUAACGAUGUAGGUUAAGAGCACUUAAAGCCCUACCAAAAAAGAAAACAGAAAUCAAAGGUCUAAUAAAAUGGUACAUGUCCCAAUAGAUCUAAUUCUUAGAAAUGACAAUGAUGAAGGACUACACAUGAAAGGCAAAACUUUAAAUUUACAGAAAAACAUACGGGAGACAAUUCCCAUCCCUCCCUCCAGGAAGGGAAAAUUUCUUACACAAAAAAGCACAAGCCAUACAGGAGAAGAGUGAGAAAUUAAACUACACUCAAAACUCACGAUCUGCAUGUGAAGUAAAGCCACAUUUAAAGGGAAAGGACGAGUCACUUUUGGGGAGAGGACAGGCCCCUGCAAAAGGAGCUCGCAAACUGGCAGCACCCAGGAAAAGCUCUGUCGUCAUCAGGCCUGUAAACACAUGGAGAGUAGCAGCGACACCACCCAGAGCUGACUGUCCCCUGGCUGCCCACAUGUCCUCCACACCCCCCAGAGAUCCUAGGGACAGGGAACUGGCCAGGGAGGGAGCCUCCUCUCCACCAGAUCCCUUUAACUAAUAAAAUCAUUCACCAGGUGCCUCCAGGCAAAGAGGUGGCCUCCAGUGUCCAGAAAGGAGGAUCCUCAGCACCCAGGUUCAGGCCUUAGAGAACUUUGGCGAUUAUGAGAGGACAGCCCUAAAACUACCUCCCAGCCCCUGCAGCCCUAGGACAAUAC
Molecule: long non-coding RNA, 7398 nt
Organism: Acinonyx jubatus (cheetah)
Lineage: Eukaryota; Metazoa; Chordata; Mammalia; Carnivora; Felidae
Exons: 2
Source: RefSeq, a predicted model, not a curated record